Molecule: ribosomal RNA, 401 nt
Filed under: Rhizobiales bacterium N2yML3
Lineage: Bacteria; Pseudomonadati; Pseudomonadota; Alphaproteobacteria; Hyphomicrobiales
Description: bacterial SSU rRNA
Rfam family: Bacterial small subunit ribosomal RNA
Source: RNAcentral
GAGUGGCAGACGGGUGAGUAACGCGUGGGAAUCUACCCAUCCCUACGGAAUAGCUCCGGGAAACUGGAAUUAAUACCGUAUACGCCCUUCGGGGGAAAGAUUUAUCGGGGUUGGAUGAGCCCGCGUUAGAUUAGCUAGUUGGUGGGGUAAAAGCCUACCAAGGCGACGAUCUAUAGCUGGUCUGAGAGGAUGAUCAGCCACACUGGGACUGAGACACGGCCCAGACUCCUACGGGAGGCAGCAGUGGGGAAUAUUGGACAAUGGGCGCAAGCCUGAUCCAGCCAUGCCGCGUGAGUGAUGAAGGCCCUAGGGUUGUAAAGCUCUUUCAGUGGGGAAGAUAAUGACGGUACCCACAGAAGAAGCCCCGGCUAACUUCGUGCCAGCAGCCGCGGUAAUACGAA